This 1037-nucleotide long non-coding RNA is filed under the name Parus major (Great Tit). RNAcentral describes it as "lncRNA (ENSPMJG00000012572.1)". The record is from RNAcentral. Lineage: Eukaryota; Metazoa; Chordata; Aves; Passeriformes; Paridae.
CACUAAAGAACAUGUCAGGAAACCACAAGGCAUAAUUUCUCUGUGUGGCAAUAUUCUGCAGGGAGCCUGGAUAGCUGUAAUGGAUCACUUUGACAUAGUAAAAAUUCAGUUUCUGGAACUGGCUCCUUAGUCUCCAAACCAUGGAGCUCCUCGUGCCAGUCCUGCUCCCACAAGCUGCAUGGGUUAAGGAGAAGGACUCAGCUGAGAUUCAGAGUGGGUGUAUCCUACCCACACCUGACAGAACUUUGCAUCACCAGAACUCCACGGUGAUGGGUACAUCUGUAUGGUCCAGAGCAGAGCAACACCCAGAGCUUCCAGGGGGGUCCAGAACUCACGUUGGUCUCUGCUAUUUUCAAAUCAGCCAGAAAGAACCCAAUGUAUCUCCAGCUGAGAACUCAGAGAGGAGUUUCCAAGCAUCUUUUACCACCUCUGCGGACUCUGCCCAAAAAGUAAGUUUUCAGGCAAGAGAAACCUUUUCUGAACACUGACUAAUUUUUUUUUUUCCAAGAAACAUCUUAGCCAAUAAUAAGGACAAGAAUUGUGUAGCUUUAUAGUCAGCAGAAAUCCAGAGUUAGGGAACCUCCUGAGCCAUUGAGAACUCAAGGCAGUCAGUACAGCUCUGAAUUUCCCUGGCCACGAACUCAGUGGGAGAUGACUGCAAGUGCCUGAUGUGCUGGUGAUGUUUCUGUCAGAAAUGUCAAAGCUCCAGCACUGCCCCCCUGGACCCUUUUGCCACCUUCUGCUCCACUAUCCUUGGAUUCAAAGCAUCAAGGGCUGGCUGCAUGGAAUUAUGCUGUAUUUGCUACAAAGCAUGGAUAUAGACUUGGUCUUAUUGUUCCUACUUGAACAAAAAAGCAGAGUAAAUCAUUCACAAAUCCGUUGUGAUGGAAUCAGAAAGAGGUAAAUCUACCUGAAAAGUGGGUGGAUCAUGAAUUAGUUGCCUUCUCCCAUUCUCUUCUGCCCUCUCUUUUGGUAAAAGUUGGCCCAACUUUUACCAAGAAAAUAGGAUAAUAAAAAGAUAACAGAAGAUAAAGUCA